CCGCUUCUUCUUUUUGUGCAUCUUUCUGGAUUAAUUUCUCUUCUUCUUUUUGGGCUGUUCAUAUUAGCUUUAAGCUUUUGAUUUCGUUUAGCGUUUGUAAAUGUGCAAAUGACUUCCAUCCGCGUGCGACAGAGCUCUCUCUUCAGAGGGUUCUAUUGGGCGAUGCGGCCAUAGUUUUGCACAAACCAACUAUCUAUUUAUAUGCAUCCUAAGCUCUCCUCAUUCUAAGGCUGUUUGUAUUUCCGUUUCCCUACAGCCUUAUUAGAGUUUUUUGCACACAUUCUUUCAUCUUCGUUCCUCUUUACUAUCAUGGUUUUUAAAAUAAUCAAUUCAUAAUUUGUAUAGUUUGAUUUACGAUCACUGUGACUAAUCUUGGUUCCACUCUGGUAUUCAUGGCUUGGGUUGUUGGAUCGUUGACUGUCUUGUUUUUCCAAGAUCUGGAUAUUCUCUUGGACUGAAGAAGUAGUCUGCCUACGAGGAUAUAUAUGGUACAAAUCAGUGACUCAUGCACUAAUGUAACUGAUGCAUACAAUAUACAAACUCAGUGAUGGCCAAUGAUUGUCGUAGACUUUCUCUAUCGUCACAUUUAUUAUAAUGUUUGGUUUCCAGGUUUGAUCUUUUGAAUGGUUUAGGUUCACUAUUAGGUUAGGUUAGUUGGGCCGUUGGGGUGUGACAGUUUCAAUAAACAUGCUGAUGGAAACAGAGAGAAGUAUCAAUACAUUAGGAAGUUCAAACUAUAGUGACUAGGCUAGUUAGGUUCAAAAGUUGAGUGGUCGGGCAGUAACAACCCUCAAAUUUAAUGACUGCUAAUAUAUUUCACAUAUCUCAAGUUUGGACCAUGUAACAUUUUGUGUUAUCUUUGUGUUAAUGUUUAUUUUUUUUCUUUUAUCUUGAGAGUUUGGUACUACUCCGACAAAACUUGGCCAUCAGAUUGAAUCAGGACCUUCAACGGUCGAGAUUAUACUAGAGUUUCUCAAGAGUGUAAUGCGCUUUAAUUAGAUCCAAAACAUCAGUAGCUUUCAAAAAAUAUGAUUGAAGAAAUUAUAAUAAACAAACUGUCACACUCAAUCACAUAUAAAUAUGCAUGCCAGUAGCUGCAAAUGCAUUUAUUCCACCAAACGUUAGCAGAGGAGGAGAAGAAAGAAAGAUAGCUUUUGGUUUCUGUCUAUCAAUGGAAGAUUCCACAGUUGGAAACAAAAGGAGGCAUGAAGAAGAUGAAAAAGGAGAACAAUGGUGGUGGGGCGAUCUCUGCUGCGGUGGCGCUGUGAAAGCCUUCCUCAAGUGUUUGGGUUUCGACGACGAAGGCCAGAGCGGUGGCGGAGGAGGUCGAUCUGACGGUGGAGGUGCUGGGUCAGCACGUCCUCCGGGGGUAGAGACGGCGGCGGCGGGAGGAAGAAUGCCUCCAAGACCUCCUCCGAGCAUUGGAGGUGGUGGGCAGAUUAAUUAGUUACAGAUAGUUAAUUAUGAUCUUAUUUAUCAUAAUAAUUAUUAAUUAAACAAGUUUACACACACCGCCUCUACUGAAUAUUAAUUGCCUUUGUAAAUCAUUUUGCUUUUGUUGUUAAUUGUCUUUGGUUGUAAUUGAAAUGUUAUGUGCUUCAAUGUUACUAUAAGCUCCACAAUCCUAACAGUUUAAUCGUUUAAUUAAUCAUAAUCUUACUGAGUUAGAUUGUUAUUAAUUGCGUUGACCGGAUAUUUUAGAUUUACGGUUAUAACCGUUAACCGCUAGGAAUAGGUAAGAUUAGGUUAUGAGUUCUGUAAUAACCGCACCAUCACCGUGUAAUAACCGCACCAUCACCGUAAUGAUACCCAUAAUCAUUACCAACCUGCUAUAUAACCAACAUUUAUC
This 1849-nucleotide long non-coding RNA is filed under the name Linum usitatissimum (flax). Its description in RNAcentral is "long non-coding RNA (LUSI_LNC003584)". Lineage: Eukaryota; Viridiplantae; Streptophyta; Magnoliopsida; Malpighiales; Linaceae. The record is from RNAcentral.